UACGAAGUGGGCUAGCGUUGUUCGGAAUUACUGGGCGUAAAGCGCACGUAGGCGGAUAUUUAAGUCGGGGGUGAAAUCCCGGGGCUCAACCCCGGAACUGCCUUCGAUACUGGGUAUCUUGAGUUCGGAAGAGGUGAGUGGAAUUGCGAGUGUAGAGGUGAAAUUCGUAGAUAUUCGCAGGAACACCAGUGGCGAAGGCGGCUCACUGGUCCGAUACUGACGCUGAGGUGCGAAAGCGUGGGGAGCAAACAGG
RNAcentral lists this ribosomal RNA (253 nucleotides) under uncultured bacterium. RNAcentral's name for it is "partial 16S ribosomal RNA". It matches the Rfam family "Bacterial small subunit ribosomal RNA", at positions 524 to 776 of the family's 1533-position model. The record is from RNAcentral.